UGUUCGGAAUGUCAUGACUCUCAAGUCCUGCUCAAGUAUUGCCGACGUUGAUGUUAUGUCAUUUGACACGGAAAAAUAAGUUCUAUUAACUUGGAGGGUAAUGCUCUUGCCAUAACUCUAGCCAAUAAUAUUAGAUUGACCAGAUUCAGAAAAUGUAGCCAACGCCAUUCUUGAGAUAUUUUACAUUCCAUUUUAAAUAUGCUCAAUAUCAUUAAUGUCUUAGAUUCCUCAUGUACCUGAAAUUUAUGUCUUAAUUGUUUUCAUUUCACUUAUUUCAUUUUAUUUUCGCACGCAUAAAUCAUUUCUUCCUAUUAUAUGAUACUCGUCUUCUGGUAGGUAGGCUGUACUCUCUUUCUCUCCUUUUUCCCUUUUUUUUUUGGCAUUCGUUCCUUUAUUUUUAUUUUGUUCUCUUAUUACAUAAUUUCCAUGCAUCCCUUGUCGAGUCGUCCCAAAUUGCACGUUAGAAUUACACUGUGGCAUUUAUUUAUACCACCACGUACACCAAUGCCAACACCAUUUUAUAUGGUCUAUAAAGUUCAUAACUAGGAUGCCAUAUUAUCAUACUAAUUGUGCCUAAAGGUGUAGAUACAUUGAUGUAUAUAGAAGGAGAAUAAAAUCUUGUGAAUAGUCAUGUUGUCUUAUGCAGUAGACUAUUAGUAGAACAUGAUGUCUGUUCUUGGAAGUUCUUUAUCUUAUGGUAUUGUUUUACUGGAUGGAACAUGUUUCUCUCCUAUCUUGAAAAGCACACAGUCAUACGCUAAAAGUUCUUCAUUUCAUCUUCAUUUUUAUUCAGGACUUAGUCCGUGAAGUGGACCCAAACAUCAUAAUUGGCUAUAACAUCUGCAAAUUCGAUAUGCCAUACCUUAUUGAGGUGGAGAUAUUAUAUCUUAACUUUGCCUUUCAAUUUUUAGUAUCUCAUUCCAAUUAACAUGAAAAUAAUGUUGGGAUGUUGUUCCCAACCCAAGAUAAAAACAAAUUCUGUAGUUUAACAAGCGGUUGACUAUGUAUAGUGCUUUUGUUUUCUUUUAUUUUUGAACUUAACAGAGAGCUGAUGUACUGGGAAUAGCUGAAUUUCCGAUGCUUGGGCGUAUUCGAAAUAGCAGUGUCAGCAUCAAGGAUACAACUUUUUCCUCAAGACAACAUGGGACCAGAGAAAGUAAAGAAGUUACAAUGGAGGGGAGGGUACAAUUUGACCUGCUACAGGUUUUUCCUGCCAAACGGAACUGCAUCAUCUGAGACUCAUAUUUAAGAGUGACAGGAAAAAAAAUCCUUAUUUUAUUGUACAUAAUUGUAAGUUGUCACCUUUGGUACUUGUUUAUGCAGGCCAUUCAGAGAGAUUACAAAUUAAGUUCUUAUUCACUUAAUUUUGUUUCUGCACACUUUCUUAAUGAGCAGAAAGAGGAUGUGCACCAUUCAAUUAUAUCCGACCUUCACAAUGGGAAUUCAGACACCAGAAAAAGUCUUGUUGUCUAUUGUUUGAAGGUGAAUCAUAUUCCUCAGCUUAAGUAUAUCUGGAUUAUAUUUCUUGUGACAUGUAGGCUCUUAUGCGUCUCAUUUUAUUUUAUCGUUCACAACAUAAAAUUUAAUUAGUCUGUGCAUUUGUAUGCUUAGAGCGGUUCCCUAUUGUGGUAAUUUUAUUUUCCUCCUGGUUUUUGCAUUUCCAGUUCCCUCCUUGUAGCAAAUGCCCUUAUUCAUUAUACUUAGACUGUCAAAGAAAAGGUUUAGAUGCCAUGUCUAUAAAACACCUCCUUCCACUAUAUUAACUGUCCUCCUCGCACUCAAAAUAAACAAAAACGCAUGUAUAAGUUAGGAUAUUGAGAUUGAAUUGUAGGGAUGUAGAUUGUAUUUUCUCUCCAGGUAUGCUAGAUCUAUUAUCAAAGGACAACCUGCAAUUUCUCCAUUUACAAGUUUUACCAAUUGUAUGAGCAUCAGGUCAUAGGAACUCCACAAGCUUUCGACAUUAGGUCUAUCACUGGUUCAUGCAUUGAUAUUAUACUACUAAAUGCA
Erythranthe guttata (spotted monkey flower) is the source of this 2007-nucleotide non-coding RNA. Lineage: Eukaryota; Viridiplantae; Streptophyta; Magnoliopsida; Lamiales; Phrymaceae. The record is from RefSeq and is a predicted model, not a curated record.